UUGGACUGAAGGGAGCUCC
RNAcentral lists this non-coding RNA (19 nucleotides) under Pinus taeda (loblolly pine). Its record names the gene pta-miR319. Lineage: Eukaryota; Viridiplantae; Streptophyta; Pinopsida; Pinales; Pinaceae. The record is from miRBase by way of RNAcentral. RNAcentral also lists the same sequence under 2 other names.